Cinara cedri is the source of this 634-nucleotide non-coding RNA. The record is from the annotation of a GenBank genome assembly. NCBI's taxonomy places the organism in Eukaryota, Metazoa, Arthropoda, Insecta, Hemiptera, Aphididae.
AUAUUUUGAAGUUUUUUUUUUUAAACGAUUUAAGCGCUUUUUUGCCGUUUUUAAGUGCAUAUAAAUCCGUUUGCAAUUAAGUUUAAGACUGAAUGUGCGCCCAUGAUAACAAAUUUAAACAUAUAAAAAAAUUAGAACCAAAGGUUCAUGAUAAUUAUAUUUAAUGUAGGUGGUACUAUCAUAUUAUGUAAUAACACUGAUAGCAGAAAAAAAAAAAAAAGAUAACACAUUGGUGCCGUAAUCGACCCCACGUAUUCCCGCAAUAUCGCCAAACACCAUUUCACCAUCAAUCUACCAUGUGGCACGGCCGCGGUUUAAGACCUAACCGUAAACCGUGGUUAUCACAAUCCACGUUUAUAAGCUGUGAAUAUCACUUGUACGAAAUAUGAUAAGAGACGUUUUCGGAAACAUAUUGGCUAACUGCACGCGAAAUGAAAUACUACUCGACGCGGUUUCGCAUAGCAAAUCGGGGUUUAUUUUCGAUUGGCGGGUGUACAAAAUGAUGCACGCCGCGAAAAUCCAAGAGGGUGCAUGUGCACCCCUCCCCUAGAUUAUGCCCGGGUCCGGUCCGUUUUAUUCACAGGCAAAGUCGCCCGGCGGCGUUAUCGACUGACCGUAGAGAAAAAAAAAAAAA